AGAGUUUGAUCAUGGCUCAGGAUAAACGCUGGCGGCGCACAUAAGACAUGCAAGUCGAACGGACUUAAUCGAUUCUUUUAGUUUCGAAGAGGUUAGUGGCGGACUGGUGAGUAACGCGUGAGCAACCUGCCUAUCAGAGGGGAAUAACAGUGAGAAAUCAUUGCUAAUACCGCAUAAGCUAGUAGUAUCGCAUGAUACAGCUAGAAAAGGAGCAAUCCGCUGAUAGAUGGGCUCGCGUCUGAUUAGCUAGUUGGUGGGGCAAUGGCCUACCAAGGCGACGAUCAGUAGCCGGACUGAGAGGUUGAACGGCCACAUUGGGACUGAGAUACGGCCCAGACUCCUACGGGAGGCAGCAGUCGGGAAUAUUGCGCAAUGGAGGAAACUCUGACGCAGUGACGCCGCGUAUAGGAAGAAGGUUUUCGGAUUGUAAACUAUUGUCAUCAGGGAAGAUAAAAGACAGUACCUGAGGAGGAAGCUCCGGCUAACUAUGUGCCAGCAGCCGCGGUAAUACAUAGGGAGCAAGCGUUAUCCGGAUUUAUUGGGUGUAAAGGGUGCGUAGACGGGAGAGCAAGUUGGUUGUGAAAUCCCUCGGCUUAACUGAGGAACUGCAACCAAAACUGUCCUUCUUGAGUGUCGGAGAGGAAAGUGGAAUUCCUAGUGUAGCGGUGAAAUGCGUAGAUAUUAGGAGGAACACCAGUGGCGAAGGCGACUUUCUGGACGACAACUGACGUUGAGGCACGAAAGUGUGGGGAGCAAACAGGAUUAGAUACCCUGGUAGUCCACACUGUAAACGAUGGAUA
RNAcentral lists this ribosomal RNA (800 nucleotides) under uncultured bacterium. RNAcentral's name for it is "bacterial SSU rRNA". It matches the Rfam family "Bacterial small subunit ribosomal RNA", at positions 8 to 815 of the family's 1533-position model. The record is from RNAcentral.